UGAACGCUGGCGGCAGGCCUAACACAUGCAAGUCGAGCGGAUGAAGGGAGCUUGCUCCUGGCUUCAGCGGCGGACGGGUGAGUAAUGCCUAGGAAUCUGCCUGGUAGUGGGGGAUAACGUCCGGAAACGGGCGCUAAUACCGCAUACGUCCUGAGGGAGAAGGUGGGGGAUCUUCGGACCUCACGCUAUCAGAUGAGCCUAGGUCGGAUUAGCUAGUUGGUGGGGUAAAGGCCUACCAAGGCGACGAUCCGUAACUGGUCUGAGAGGAUGAUCAGUCACACUGGAACUGAGACACGGUCCAGACUCCUACGGGAGGCAGCAGUGGGGAAUAUUGGACAAUGGGCGAAAGCCUGAUCCAGCCAUGCCGCGUGUGUGAAGAAGGUCUUCGGAUUGUAAAGCACUUUAAGUUGGGAGGAAGGGCAGUAAGUUAAUACCUUGCUGUUUUGACGUUACCAACAGAAUAAGCACCGGCUAACUUCGUG
This 482-nucleotide ribosomal RNA is filed under the name uncultured bacterium. Its description in RNAcentral is "partial 16S ribosomal RNA". It matches the Rfam family "Bacterial small subunit ribosomal RNA", at positions 30 to 507 of the family's 1533-position model. The record is from RNAcentral.